UCCUUUUUAGCCGAUUUGGCUUUUAAUUUCUGGGCUGUUGGUUCAUUUCAUUUCUGCUUAUGAAUUUGUGAUUGAUAUCAAUUCCAAUCAGAGAAAUAACUAAGGAUUCUACGUUCCUACCAGCGUCGAUUUAUGAUAUCACAUCAUCCCAGCACUCAGUGCCCAUCUUUUCUUUUGCUAUUCCAAUCAAAACCCGUUUCUAAUUGAUUGUUGGGUUCUUCAAAAUCGGCUCUUUAAUUUGCCAAUUGGCCUGUAAAAAUUUGAUGGUUUGUGAAAUUCAAUGUUGAAUUGAUGUGUGUUUGUUCCAUUAGCUUUCAAUUCCGAUAGAUUUCUUCUGCAACAUAUCUUUAAUUUGUGUAAUGGUGUGGUAUGUAAGUUGCCUUUUUGUUUGUUUUUAUAGUUUCGAUGGAUGACAGUGGUAAUGGAUAGAUUAUUUGGUUGGUUAAUCAAUUGAAGAAUUGAUGGCGUUGUCUCAUAGUUUGUAUAUCUGGGCAACUAGGUGCUCAGUAAACCUUUAGUAAAACUUCUAAUCUCUAAACCUGAGACUGUAAACUGUUUUCCUUGAAUUAGUUGUGUGGUUUUAAAUGUUUAGCUAUCCUUUGAUUUUGAUCAAUUUAUUUGACACAGGCUAAAAUUCUACACUACAUUGUUGUCUAAAGGUGUAGUAUUGUAUCACAAGUCUGUUUUUUAAUUAAAAUUAUGCAUUAAGUUUCUUCUUUAUGACAUUUGGAUCAAUCAAGUGACACAAAAUUUAAAUUCCCCGUUAUCAGAUUUUAUCAAUUCAAUAAUGUUUAUCACAAGUCUGUUUUUACUGUUUCUUCUUCCUUUAUUUGUUUUUCGGCAUUAAAAAUCUAAUUUGUUGUUUUUAUGUAGUUCAGACUGAAAAGUUGCAUAUAGUCAAGAACUUGCAAGACCAGUUUUUUAAACUUCUAAACACAGAAUUUUCAGACUUAAAGCACUUUGCUCCAAGUUCUGUAGCCUUGCCUUUCUAUCAUAAGCUGAAAUCAAUUUGGAAGCACAGACAGAAGUGGUGACUUUGUAUCCUCUAGAUCAAAAAUUCUAUGCAAAAAGGUGUGCAUAUUGUUAAACUGUUGCUGUUCCUCUGUGCAUCGUUUACCGUUAUUCCAGUCUCCUGCUCUUAUUCAGGUCCAACUAAAUAAGUUGGGAGAUCAGCUUGGUUUAGAUACGUAUGGAAUUGAUGUCAAUGAAGAGGAUUCAAGCAUUAAUAUUGUCAGCAAUGGGGAAACUCAUUUUCCAGUCCCCUUAAAUAAGGAGCAGCUGAAUGAUGUUUCUCCAAGCAAGAAAAGGCUUGAUGUAAAUAGGGAUUCUGCCAAGGAACCAAAACAAGGUGACUGGAGCAGUGGAAGGCGAUACUGUUGGAAUCGAGAGAGCGGGAGAAGAAGUCAGUCCGCAUUUCGUUUGGAUCAAUCUUGAAAGCUUGGCUAUCGAAGUGUGCUUCGGUUUUGAAGAUAAUCAUGCUAGAUCAACCAGGUCAGGCGUUUUGUUGUGCUGGGUUUUGAAGAUAAUCGUGCUAGAUCAACCAGGAUAAUUGUGUUUGGGUAGGUGAUCUGCUGCAACUGGACCUAUAGUGCUUGGGUUUUGAAGAUAAUCGUGCUAGAUCAACCAGAUUAAGUAGCAUUUGAGGUGUUGUCAAUUGUGAAGCUGCUGCUGCUGACAUUCCAAUCAUCUUUCUCAGGGAUUCGGACUUUGUAUGUUUGUCAUAGUAUCAGACAGUGCUUUGGGUUGAUGAGGAUACUAAAGAUGGCUCCUUCAACCUAACAGAGAUUGAGCCAAUUUCCAUCAUUUAUGUGCUGUUUAGUGUAAAGAAAAUCUACAGAUGCUUGGUUCAAUGAUAUGUCAUUUUGGCAGAUUUGUGCAGAUAAUCGGAGUACUGUGUGCCCAAAUGAGAAUUGAUCUUUUUUGAGACUCAAGGUUGUUCAUGAAAUCUUUUUUUCAUCUUAUUUAUGGUUUACAAUUCCUUUGCUGUGCUGAAUUGAUGCCAAGAAAGCAGAAGAGAGUUGUUCAGCACUGACUCAGACAAAAAAUCUCGCAGGGAAACUAGCGCCGAACCAUCAAUGUCAUCAACAGACGCUGCACAACCCAACAAGCAGAAAACUGACUGUAGCAGCUUCUCAUUGCAACUGUUGCACCACUUUUUGUAUAGAUAGAAAUGGAGCAACCAAUUUUUUCAUAGGCCAACACCUUUUGUGUAUAUACACCUAGACCAACUAUUUUUUGGAAAAUGUUCCAGCAGCAACUGCAACAAAGUGAACCUCAAACUUAGAUAGCCUAUUUGUUGAACAAUCCACUAUGAUAAUAUCAUCUUUUGUUUUAGAUGAUCUGCAGUAAUGAAAACAGUUCUAUCAUUUA
Rosa chinensis is the source of this 2370-nucleotide long non-coding RNA. RefSeq lists it as uncharacterized. NCBI's taxonomy places the organism in Eukaryota, Viridiplantae, Streptophyta, Magnoliopsida, Rosales, Rosaceae. The record is from RefSeq and is a predicted model, not a curated record. The transcript has 13 exons.